RNAcentral lists this ribosomal RNA (253 nucleotides) under uncultured bacterium. RNAcentral's name for it is "partial 16S ribosomal RNA". It matches the Rfam family "Bacterial small subunit ribosomal RNA", at positions 524 to 776 of the family's 1533-position model. The record is from RNAcentral.
GACGAACCGAGCGAACGUUGUUCGGAAUCACUGGGCUUAAAGGGCGCGUAGGCGGGUGCUCAAGUCUGUGGUGAAAUCCUCCAGCUUAACUGGAGAACUGCCAUGGAUACUGGGUGUCUCGAGGAAGAUAGGGGUAUGCGGAACGAUUGGUGGAGCGGUGAAAUGCGUAGAUAUCGAGAGGAACACCAGUGGCGAAGGCGAGUCCCUGGACACUUCCUGACACUGAGGCACGAAAGCUAGGGGAGCAAACAGG